UGAGUAACCUGCCCUUAACUCUGGGAUAAGCCUGGGAAACUGGGUCUAAUACCGGAUAUGACUCCUCAUCGCAUGGUGGGGGGUGGAAAGCUUUAGUGCGGUUUUGGAUGGACUCGCGGCCUAUCAGCUUGUUGGUGAGGUAAUGGCUCACCAAGGCGACGACGGGUAGCCGGCCUGAGAGGGUGACCGGCCACACUGGGACUGAGACACGGCCCAGACUCCUACGGGAGGCAG
RNAcentral lists this ribosomal RNA (234 nucleotides) under uncultured bacterium. RNAcentral describes it as "partial 16S ribosomal RNA". It matches the Rfam family "Bacterial small subunit ribosomal RNA", at positions 118 to 351 of the family's 1533-position model. The record is from RNAcentral.